This 392-nucleotide long non-coding RNA is filed under the name Cricetulus griseus (Chinese hamster). RNAcentral's name for it is "lncRNA (ENSCGRG00015041971.1)". The record is from RNAcentral. Lineage: Eukaryota; Metazoa; Chordata; Mammalia; Rodentia; Cricetidae.
UGCUCUGCUGCUCACUGAGUCCCAGUGUCUGAGUCCUUGGUGCUGUGUCUUCUCACCCCCUCGCUCAAGGGGUGUCCGAGAAGGGUAAUCUACAACAUCUGCUGCCUAGACAAGGAGCUCACGGAUCCCGUGCUGGCGUCUCGGGCCCACUUGAAUCAGAGUGUCUUCUUUUUUCCAUCGCCACGGCUGUUUAUUUUUUGGCUCUGAUCUUUGCCUUUUUGUUGCUGGUGGUGCAUCAGUGGAUCCUAUAUUGGUACACUUUUGCUUUCUCUAUCAGCACCCUUCCGGACUCCUCUUCACGCUUGAGACGAGUUUCGUGCUCCUUCUUCGGUGACUUGUUCGAUUUUCAGGCAACAAGUCCUCUCACCCAGGCUCAGGGAACCCCGAAGAAG